Molecule: ribosomal RNA, 568 nt
Filed under: uncultured bacterium
Lineage: Bacteria
Description: bacterial SSU rRNA
Rfam family: Bacterial small subunit ribosomal RNA
Source: RNAcentral
GGGUAACCUGCCCAUCAGAAGGGGAUAACACUUGGAAACAGGUGCUAAUACCGUAUAACACUAUUUUCCGCAUGGAAGAAAGUUGAAAGGCGCUUUUGCGUCACUGAUGGAUGGACCCGCGGUGCAUUAGCUAGUUGGUGAGGUAACGGCUCACCAAGGCAACGAUGCAUAGCCGACCUGAGAGGGUGAUCGGCCACACUGGGACUGAGACACGGCCCAGACUCCUACGGGAGGCAGCAGUAGGGAAUCUUCGGCAAUGGACGAAAGUCUGACCGAGCAACGCCGCGUGAGUGAAGAAGGUUUUCGGAUCGUAAAACUCUGUUGUUAGAGAAGAACAAGGAUGAGAGUAGAACGUUCAUCCCUUGACGGUAUCUAACCAGAAAGCCGCGGCUAACUACGUGCCAGCAGCCGCGGUAAUACGUAGGUGGCAAGCGUUGUCCGGAUUUAUUGGGCGUAAAGCGAGCGCAGGCGGUUUCUUAAGUCUGAUGUGAAAGCCCCCGGCUCAACCGGGGAGGGUCAUUGGAAACUGGGAGACUUGAGUGCAGAAGAGGAGAGUGGAAUUCCAUGU